RNAcentral lists this microRNA (19 nucleotides) under Tribolium castaneum (red flour beetle). RNAcentral's name for it is "tca-miR-iab-8-3p". Its record names the gene tca-miR-iab-8-3p. The record is from miRBase by way of RNAcentral. Lineage: Eukaryota; Metazoa; Arthropoda; Insecta; Coleoptera; Tenebrionidae.
AGGAUACAUUCAGUAUACG